This 413-nucleotide long non-coding RNA is filed under the name Crocodylus porosus (Australian saltwater crocodile). RNAcentral describes it as "lncRNA (ENSCPRG00005003317.1)". The record is from RNAcentral. Lineage: Eukaryota; Metazoa; Chordata; Crocodylia; Crocodylidae.
UCAAUGUGGACCAUGUGGCUGAGAUGCUCAGGACCAUCGACUUCCAGACAGACCCCCUGGGUGAGGAGGAGGCUGAGGGGCCCCUGGGCCUGGAUGGUGGUGACGUGGCAGGCGAGGACCAGCGGCUGGAUGGAUCGGAUGGACUGGAGGGGCCAGAAGAUGCGGGACCCAGGCAGAAGCUGGUGAGCUCCCGGCAUGGCCAGCACUGAGCAUGUUGCAGCAGGACGGGGUUGUGGAGCUACCAGCUCAUGAGCGUGAACCCAGACCUGGCAUCACCAGCCAUGGAUCCUACCCUGCUCACUACUGCCCCCUCCUGCUCCUCCACCCCUCCCCACACCUUUUUUUUUUAUAGUUCAUGAACCUUGGAGUUGGCAUGGUCGCCUGUUGGUUUAUUAAACACGUGUGAACAUCCG